UGAGGAGCACAGAUGACAUUUUGUCACAUGGU
Molecule: non-coding RNA, 32 nt
Filed under: Rattus norvegicus (Norway rat)
Lineage: Eukaryota; Metazoa; Chordata; Mammalia; Rodentia; Muridae
Source: RNAcentral